CACUCAUCUCUUCCAGAUUCCAACUCUCAGAAACAAUGGGGUUUCGUUCUCUGCUCAACACUGUAAUUCUUCACACUAAAAACAUCAAUGGAACUUCUUCUUCAACCAAACCCCUCCUUAAUCACUCAUUCAUUCAACAAAAUCAAUCUCUCCUCCUCCUCCUUGUUCCAAUUGAGGGCAUCAGAUUCAUUUCUUCCACCACAAAUCAAGAUUCUUCUCCAUCUUCUUCAUCUUCAGAUGUGGUUUCUUACUUGAUAAAUUCAUGUGGUUUAUCAAAAGAAAAAGCUAUCACUACUGGUAAAAAAAUCAAACUCAAAAAACUCUCAUCCCAACAAGAUGAUGCCCUAACUUUACUUCAAACUUACGGAUUUGACAAAUCUCAAAUCUCUAAACUCAUUACCAAAGUUCCAUCUAUUCUCUUAAUCAAUCCACACAAAACCCUAAAACCCAAAUUGGAAUUUUUCAAUUCCAAAGGGCUUUCUGGAAUUGAACUUGCCAACUUCUUUACCUGUAAUCCAUAUAUCUUUAGAGCAAGCUUAAACUUGAUCAUCCCUCUCUAUGAUGCCCUCAAGGGCAUUCUUCAUAAAGAUGAAAUUGUCAUUGGUACCUUAAAACGCUGUGUAAUGGGUUAUGCACAGGGUCAUGUCAUGAAUCUGAAACUCAAUAUUGGUCUUUUGAGAAAUGAAGGUGUUCCUGAAUAUGACAUUUUUAAGUCUGUAACCAGGCGACCGAGAGGGAUACUGAUUACUAAUGUUCGAUUCAAGAAGCUAGUAGAGAAUGCCAGGAGAUUGGGUUUCGAACCUCGUUUUAAUUCGUCUAAUUUUAUUGAAGGUUUACAGGUAUUGUUAAGUAUGAGUGAAUCGUCAUGGGAAAGGAAAUUGCUAGUUUACAAGAGAUUGGGUUGGUCUGAUACAGAAAUUCGAGUUUCAUUUAUGAAACUACCAAAUUGUAUGAGGUAUUCUGAGAAGAAGAUAACAUUGAUAGUGGAUUUCCUUGUCAACGAAAUGGGUUAUAUUCGAUCUGACAUUGCUAGUAGUCCUCGUGUUUUGGGUUCUAGCUUGAACGAUACAAUUAUCCCGAGGUGUUCUGUUUUGCGAAUGCUAGUUUCCAAGGGUCUAAUUGAGAAGCUAAUCAAACCAACUACAUUUGCAACAAUGACUGAGAGGCGUUUCUUGGACAAGUUUGUGUUCAAGUAUGAGAAAGAAGCAACUGAACUAUUCAAAGUAUACCAGGGUCAGUCACUCUGUUGAUUUCUCAAGAGGUAAAUUCUUUGUUUGAUAAGUAUUUAUAUAACAACCAUGUUUAGUUUUGGUUGAUCACUGAACUCGAUUUUGUCAGAAUGUGUGUUAUUUGGAUUUCCCCAAAGAAUUUAAAUGCAUCCAACAAAUUCCGUAAAUUGUCUCUGGCAAUGUGGUAUAUUUGAUUCCUUGUUAUUUGCAAUGUGGUAAAUUUCAAACAAUAAAAAUGAAAGAGAUGUCAAUUCGGGUCCAAAUUCGAUAAUUCAAAAUUCAAUUAGUUUGGUAAUACAACAUUUACUGUUUGUAACUUCACCUCAUGACGCUGAGUUUAAAUUGCUUGACUGUUAUAAGCUCAGCAGUGUUUUCUAAUGUCAUUUGGUUUUUCUCUAAUCGUCUUGCUUGAAUUUGGGAAGGCCAAAUGCCAAAGCAGAGUACUUAAUACUCCACAACCUUUAACCUUGCAUAUACCUGACAGAAAGAGUGCCAUUUCCACCCUAUGAGGUAAUUUAGCAUAAUGUAUCUGGUGUUCUCUGGUUUCAAACAUCUGAUAUCUUUAUUGUAACUAGCCAACAAGUGCCACACAGGCUGAUUUUUUGGUGGAGAACUGGAGAUAUAAGGGCAUAUAGAAUGAAUCAUUUCUUCUUCUAGAAUCUAUAUAGUGUGCCUGUUGGUAGAAUCAAAGAACUAUUCUAGAAUCAUUCCAAGUGCAUCAGUAACAGUGACUGAGACAAAAAAAUUUUAACAAGUUUCUGUGCAAGUAUGAGAAAGAAGUUUCUGACUAUUUCAAGUAUACCCAGGGGCAAGACAAUGGAUGGCACAAAGCAGUAAAUACACGGAGCUGCCACCCUAAACAAUCUUGCUGACCAGGAAAUAAAACUCCAGUUUACACAUCCACCCACUUGGAGAAGGAUAAUUUUUGUACAUGCGAAGAAACAGUUUGUGUUCAAGUAUGAGAAAGACGUGAAUGAACUAUUCAAAAUAUACAAAGGUCAGUCACUCUGUUGAUUUCUCAAGAGGUAAAUUCUUUGUUUCGAGUAAGUAACAUAAUAACUAUUUAGAUAACAACCAUGUUUAAUUCAGUUGAUAAUUGAACUUGACUUAGUCAUAAUGCUUAAUUCAGUUGAUAAUUGAACUUGAUUUAGUCAGAAUGCUGA
RNA transcript from Papaver somniferum (opium poppy), 2392 nucleotides. RefSeq lists it as uncharacterized. The record is from RefSeq and is a predicted model, not a curated record. Lineage: Eukaryota; Viridiplantae; Streptophyta; Magnoliopsida; Ranunculales; Papaveraceae. The transcript is spliced from 2 exons.